RNAcentral lists this ribosomal RNA (453 nucleotides) under Clostridiales bacterium canine oral taxon 260. RNAcentral describes it as "bacterial SSU rRNA". It matches the Rfam family "Bacterial small subunit ribosomal RNA", at positions 9 to 490 of the family's 1533-position model. The record is from RNAcentral. Lineage: Bacteria; Bacillati; Bacillota; Clostridia; Eubacteriales.
GAGUUUGAUUCUGGCUCAGGAUUAACGCUGGCGGCAUGCCUAACACAUGCAAGUCGAACGGAGAUAGCAAUAUCUUAGUGGCGAACGGGUGAGUAACGCGUGAGUAAUCUGCCCUGCAUUACGGGAUAACACAAAGAAAUUUGUGCUAAUACGGUAUGAAACAUAGCAUCGCAUGAUGCAAUGUUAAAAGAUUUAUCGAUGCAGGAUGAGCUCGCGUCCCAUUAGCUAGUUGGUGAGAUAACAGCCCACCAAGGCAACGAUGGGUAGCCGGUCUGAGAGGAUGAACGGCCACAUUGGGACUGAGACACGGCCCAGACUCCUACGGGAGGCAGCAGUGGGGAAUAUUGGGCAAUGGAGGAAACUCUGACCCAGCAAUGCCGCGUGAAUGAUGAAGGUCUUUUGAUUGUAAAGUUCUUUAGUUUCGAAGGAAUAAAUGACCUAGAAAAGAAUAAG